ACCGACACAGGUGGGCGAGGAGAGAAUCCUAAGGCGCUUGAGAUAACUCUGGUUAAGGAACUUAGCAAAAUCACACCGUAACUUCGGGAGAAGGUGUGCUCGGGUUAGUGUAAGGACUUGCUCCUGAAGCUGACUUGAGUCGCAGUGAAGAGGGGGUGGCGACUGUUUACUAAAAACACAGGACUCUGCAAACUCGUAAGAGAAAGUAUAGGGUCUGACGCCUGCCCGGUGCUGGAAGGUUAAGGGGAGAUGUCAUUCUGAGUUCAUCGGAAGAAGCAUUGAACCGAAGCCCCAGUAAACGGCGGCCGUAACUAUAAAACGGACCAACUGUAGUUACGUAAAUAAAUCUGGCUAUAUGCUGGGAAAUCCUGUUAAGCUGAUGGUACUUCUGCCUCGAAAGGCUGAAUGUAACAAUCCAUCAGAUAGGGACAAUCAGCAGGAAAGUUCCGAAGGAGGAAAGAUGAAGCCUGAAAUAGGUUUCUACUUAGCAGGUUUUGCCGAUGGAGAAGGAAGCUUUAGUGUUUCUUUCAGACCAAGGCAAGACUAUAAACAACCGUGGAAAAUAUCCAUGUGUUUCAAUGUAUCCCAGAAAGAAAAAGAAAUACUUGCCCUUUUUAAACACCAUCUUGGAUGUGGGACUUUAAGGGCAAGGCCAGAUGGUAUCUGGUAUUAUGAGGUGAACAACUUUAAUGCAAUAUGGGAAAAGGUAAUACCUUUUUUUAAAAGAUAUAGAUUUCUCUCUGCAACUAAAAAGAACGACUUCUCAAAAUUCUGUCAGAUUGCAGAGAUAAUAAAAAAAGGUGAACAUCUCACAGAAGAAGGUAUAAAAAGGAUACUAAAGAUAAGAAAAGAUAUGAACCACGGUGGAAAAAGAAAAUACACAGAUGACGAAAUCCUCAAAAAACUUCGGAAAUCCUCAGAGACUAUACGCCAGACUCCGUCAGGAACGGAGAUGAUAUAGUCCGAUCUCUAUGGCAACAUAGAGAGCCGAACGGAAACGAUUCGGCCACUCGCAAAAGAUAAUUGCGGGCAGUAACAGAAAUGAACGGUCCUAAGGUAGCGAAAUUCCUUGUCGGGUAAGUUCCGACCUGCAUGAAUGGCGUAACGAUUGCCCCACUGUCUCAACCAGGGACUCAGCGAAAUUAUAUUGGGGGUGAAGAUACCCUCACCCCGCGGCAAGACGGAAAGACCCCGUGAACCUUUACUAUAACUUGACAGUGAACUUCGGGAUAGUAUGUGUAGGAUAGGUGGGAGGCUAUGAAGUGCUGGCGCCAGCUGGCAUGGAGCCGUCCUUGAAAUACCACCCUUAUUGUUUUGGAGUUCUAACUCAGGUCCCUUAACGGGAUCGAGGACACUGUCUGGUGGGUAGUUUGACUGGGGCGGUCGCCUCCAAAAGAGUAACGGAGGCGCACUAAGGUCGGCUCAGGCUGAUUGGAAACCAGCCGUAGAGUGCAAAGGCAUAAGCCGGCUUGACUGUGAGACCUACAAGUCGAGCAGGAACGAAAGUUGGUCUUAGUGAUCCGGUGGUUCCGCAUGGAAGGGCCAUCGCUCAACGGAUAAAAGGUACUCCGGGGAUAACAGGCUUAUCUCCCCCAAGAGUUCAUAUCGACGGGGAGGUUUGGCACCUCGAUGUCGGCUCAUCGCAUCCUGGGGCUGAAGUAGGUCCCAAGGGUUUGGCUGUUCGCCAAUUAAAGCGGUACGUGAGCUGGGUUUAGAACGUCGUGAGACAGUUCGGUCCCUAUCUGCCGUGGGCGCAGGAUAAUUGAGAGGGUCUGUCCCUAGUACGAGAGGACCGGGAUGGACGGACCUCUAGUGCACCAGUUGUCACGCCAGUGGCAUGGCUGGGUAGCUAUGUCCGGAAGGGAUAACCACUGAAAGCAUCUAAGUGGGAAGCCUGCCUCAAGAAUAGUUAUCCCGUCCCGUCGCAAGACGGGGCUAAGACCCCACGUAGACCACGUGGUUGAUAGGCUGAUGGUGUAAGCGUAGUGAUACGUUGAGCCUAACAGUACUAAUAGGUCGAGCGCUUGACCA
RNAcentral lists this ribosomal RNA (2031 nucleotides) under activated sludge metagenome. Its description in RNAcentral is "bacterial LSU rRNA". It matches the Rfam family "Bacterial large subunit ribosomal RNA", at positions 1653 to 2925 of the family's 2925-position model. The record is from RNAcentral.